This is a long non-coding RNA of Humulus lupulus (European hop), 472 nucleotides long. RefSeq lists it as uncharacterized. NCBI's taxonomy places the organism in Eukaryota, Viridiplantae, Streptophyta, Magnoliopsida, Rosales, Cannabaceae. The transcript has 3 exons. The record is from RefSeq and is a predicted model, not a curated record.
CACGACCAUUAUUCUGAAAAACAGAGAGAAAAGAAAACCAAAAACCAUUUCUUGGCUGGUUUGAAGAAAUUCUAAGGAGAUCCAAGUGAAAGCAAAGCCAAAGAAGUAGAUUAAGCUUAGUUCUAGCCUUUUUAUGAUAUUUCUUGGGGUUUCCAAGUGGUUUGAGGUUUAGAAAAGCUUGAAGAGAUUGUUUUCGCUGAAAAGUUGCUCGGUAGAGAAAGAAAUAUGUGAAUGAUAUGAGGAGAACUGAAGCAUGGUCCUGACCCUGAUUUGUACAUAUGAACACAUCGACCUUUUUGUGGGUUAUUUCAGUUAUCAGUGAGAUGUUUGUAAUAAAGUGUGAAGUUAUGUUUUGAAAAUAAAUUGGGUUAUUUAAUACUUAUGUAUAAUAUGUUUGAGACACACUUUAUGUUUAAUGUAAAUAAUGUGAAAUAAGUUUUCAAGUUUUAAAAAAAAAAAAAAAAAAAAAUGU